This 460-nucleotide ribosomal RNA is filed under the name uncultured bacterium. Its description in RNAcentral is "partial 16S ribosomal RNA". It matches the Rfam family "Bacterial small subunit ribosomal RNA", at positions 338 to 795 of the family's 1533-position model. The record is from RNAcentral.
CCUACGGGAGGCAGCAGUGAGGAAUAUUGGUCAAUGGGCGCGAGCCUGAACCAGCCAAGUAGCGUGAAGGAUGAAUGCCCUACGGGUUGUAAACUUCUUUUAUCAAGGAAUAAAGUGAGGCACGUGUGCCUUUUUGCAUGUACUUUAUGAAUAAGGAUCGGCUAACUCCGUGCCAGCAGCCGCGGUAAUACGGAGGAUACGAGCGUUAUCCGGAUUUAUUGUGUUUAAAGGGUGCGUAGAUGGUUUGUUAAGUCAGUUGUGAAGUUUUGUGGCUCAACCGGAAAAUUGCAAUUGAUACUGGCAGUCUUGAGUACAGUUGAGGGAGGCGGAAUUCGUGGUGUAGCGGUGAAAUGCUUAGAGAUCUCGAAGAACUCCGAUUGCGAAGGCAGCUUACUGGACUGCCACUGACGUUGAUGCUCGAAAGUGUGGGUAUCAAACAGGAUUAGAUACCCUAGUAGUC